GGUCUGUGAUGCGGUGACAUAGAGGAUCUCAGGGUAACCAAGACUCUGUUACAAGGGACUUUUGAACCAGAGGGCCUCGGGGUAACCAAGACCCUUCUUUGGGGGACAUUUAACAGACCAAGUACUUGAGAGGGGAAAAGAAGAGAAGAAAAGAAGUCUCCAUCUAGGACUGAUUGAAUGUUUUCAGAGGACUAUCCACAAUGACUCCAAGAUCUCUUUCUUGAGUGGAAACAGCUAGUGUACAACCCAUCAUUAUCUCCUCCAGUUCAGCCACUCUGCUCUCAAGAGCCUGUACUUAUUCUCUGAGGACCAUGAAUUGCUUGUACUGAAGGCAAACAUAUGCCACUUGUCCACCAUGCAGUCAUUAUCAUGGCUCUUCUCUGAACCUUCUCCAAUUCUUCAACAUCCUUUUUGAACUGUGGACACCAGAACAGGAUACAGUGUUCCAGCAGUGAUCCCACCAGUGCUAAAUACAGAGUGGGAGAAUGCAGCUGCAUACAUCGUAUGAUCUUCUAUAGAAAAGCCUUACAGACACAGGUACCUUAGUGAUUGUUCCAGCCAAGUGCAGGAUGUGAACCGUCCAUUGAGCUGUUGUGAAGAAACGACAGACUGGAAAAAAGAGAGGUUGGAACAGACUGCACUGAGGCACAGGAAAAAAGCGCAACAGCACAAAGGAAGGGACAUUCCAUGGAAAGGAAAGCCGGCUACGGUAGCCAUAGAAGUGUUUAAGGGCUCUACAGUUUCAUUUUCUUCUUCCCUUCUUCCUUGAAGGAAGAGCGCAAAUGUGAAGAAUGCAGCAAGUGUCAGACUACAGCUACAAUUCUUUAAAAUAUCCUACCCCCAGCAAUGAGAACCACUCCCUGGACAUAAGAAUGGCCAGACUGGGUCAGACCAUAGGUCCAGCCAGCCCAGUAUCCUGUCUACUGACAGUGGCCAAUGCCAGGUGCCCCAGAGGGAGUGAACCUAACAGGUAAUGAUCAAGUGAUCUCUCUCCUGCCGUUCAUCACCACCCUCUGACAAACAGAGGCUAGGGACACCAUUCCUUACCCAUCCUGGCUAAUAGCCAUUAAUGGACUUAACCUCCAUGAAUUUAUCCAGUUCUCUUUUAAACCCUGUUAUAGUCCUAGCUUUCACAACCUCCUCAGGCAAGGAGUUCCACAAGUUGACCGUGUGCUGUGUGCAGAAGAACUCCCUUUUAUUUGUUUUAAAUCUGCUGCCCAUUAAUUUCAUUGGUGGCCCCUAGUUCUUAUAUUAUGGGAACAAGUAAAUAACUUUUCCUUAUUCACAUUUCACCUCUAUAGUCUCCUCUUUUCCAAGCUGAAAAGUCCUAGCCUCUUUAAUCUCUCCUCAUAUGGGACCCAUUCCAAACCCCUAAUAAUUUUAGUUGCCCUUCUCUGAACCUUUUCUAAUGCCAGUAUAUCUUUUUUGAGAUGAGGAGGCCACAUCUUUACGGAGUAUUCAAGAUGUGGGCAUACCAUGGAUUUAUAUAAGGGCAAUAAGAUAUUCUCCAUCUUAUUCUCUAUCCCCUUUUUAAUGAUUCCUAACAUCCUGUUUGCUUUUUUGACUGCCGCUGCACACUGCGUGGAUGUCUUCAGAGAACUAUCUGGAAUGACUCCAAGAUCUUUUUCCUGAUUAGUUGUAGCUAAAUUAGCCCCCAUCAUACUGUAUGUAGAAUUGGGGUUAUUUUUCCCAAUGUGCAUUACUUUACAUUUAUCCACAUUAAAGUUCAUUUGCCAUUUUGUUGCCCAAUCACUUAGUUUUGGGAGAUCUUUUUGAAGUUCUUCACAGUGUGCUUUGGUCUUAACUAUCUUGAGCAGUUUAGUAUCAUCUGCAAACUUUGCCACCUCACUUUUUACCCCUUCCUCCAGAUCAUUUAUGAAUAAGUUGAAUAAGAUUGGUCCUAGGACUGACCCUUGGGGAACCCACUAGUUACCCCUCUCCAUUCUGAAAAUUUACCAUUUAUUCCUACCCUUUGUUCUCUGUCUUUUAACCAGUUCUCAAUCCAUGAAAGGAUCUUCCCUCUUAUCCCAUGACAUCUUGGUUUACGUAAGAGCCUCUGAUGAGGGACCUUGUCAAAGGCUUUCUGGAAAUCUAAGUACACUAUGUCCACUGGAUCCCCCUUGUCCAUAUGUUUGUUGACCCCUUCAAAGAAAUUUAAUAAAAAUAGAGAAAUUAAAAAAGGCUUUCUGGAAAUCUAAGUACACUAUGUCCACUGGGUCCCCCUUGUUCACAUGUUUGUUGACCCCUUCAAAGAAAUCUAAUAGAUUAGUAAGACAUGAUUUCCCUUUAUAGAAACCAUGUUGGCUUUUGUCCAACAAUUUAUGUUCUUCUAUGUGCCUGACAAUUUUAUUCUUUACAAUUGUUUCAACUAAUUUGCCCGGUACUGACGUUAGACUGUAAUUGCUGGGAUCACCUUUAGAGCCCUUUUUAAAUAUUGGCGUUACAUUAGCUAUUUUCCAGUCAUUGGGUACAGAAGCUGAUUUAAAGGACAGGUUACAAACCAUAGUUAGUAGUUCCGCAAUUUCACAUUUGAAUUCUUUCAUCUGACGAAGUGGGUAUUCACCCACAAAAGCUUAUGCUCCAAUACAGCUGUUAGUUUAUAAGGUGCCACAGGACUCUUUGUCGCUUUUUACAGAUCCACACUAACACGGCUAUCCCUCUGAUACUUCAGAAGUCUUGGGUGAAUGUCAUCUGAUCCCAAGUAUCAGGGGGUAGCCAUGUUAGUCUGUAUCUACAAAACCAACAAGGAGUCUGGUGGCACGUUAAAGACUAAC
This is a long non-coding RNA of Malaclemys terrapin pileata, 2774 nucleotides long. RefSeq lists it as uncharacterized. The transcript is spliced from 7 exons. NCBI's taxonomy places the organism in Eukaryota, Metazoa, Chordata, Testudines, Emydidae. The record is from RefSeq and is a predicted model, not a curated record.